Molecule: transfer RNA, 85 nt
Organism: Felis catus (domestic cat)
Lineage: Eukaryota; Metazoa; Chordata; Mammalia; Carnivora; Felidae
Rfam family: tRNA
About the family: Transfer RNA (tRNA) molecules are approximately 80 nucleotides in length. Their secondary structure includes four short double-helical elements and three loops (D, anti-codon, and T loops).
Source: Rfam
GCCUGGGUGGCUCAGUGGGUUGAGUGUCUGACUUCACCUCAGGUCAUGAUCUCACAGCUUGUGGGUUCGAGCCCCACAUCGGGUU